UACAGAGGGGGCAAGCGUUGUUCGGAAUUACUGGGCGUAAAGGGCGCGUAGGCGGCCUGUUAAGUCGAACGUGAAAUCCCCGGGCUCAACCCGGGAACUGCGUCCGAUACUGGCAGGCUUGAAUCCGGGAGAGGGAUGCGGAAUUCCAGGUGUAGCGGUGAAAUGCGUAGAUAUCUGGAGGAACACCGGUGGCGAAGGCGGCAUCCUGGACCGGCAUUGACGCUGAGGCGCGAAAGCCAGGGGAAGCAAAGCGGGG
RNAcentral lists this ribosomal RNA (256 nucleotides) under uncultured bacterium. RNAcentral's name for it is "partial 16S ribosomal RNA". It matches the Rfam family "Bacterial small subunit ribosomal RNA", at positions 524 to 778 of the family's 1533-position model. The record is from RNAcentral.